GAAAGAUGGGGAACAUCACAGAGGGAUGGCCUUACGGCGCAUUAGCUAGUUGGAGAGGUAGAGGCUCACCAAGGCGAUGAUGCGUAGCCGGCCUGAGAGGGUGAACGGCCACAUUGGGACUGAGACACGGCCCAGACUCCUACGGGAGGCAGCAGUAGGGAAUUUUCGGCAAUGGGCGAAAGCCUGACCGAGCAAUGCCGCGUGAGUGAAGAAGGCCUUCGGGUUGUAAAGCUCUGUUGUAAAGGAAGAACGGAUGGCAUAGGGAAUGAUGCCAUUGUGACGGUACUUUACGAGGAAGUCACGGCUAACUACGUGCCAGCAGCCGCGGUAAUACGUAGGUGGCGAGCGUUAUCCGGAAUUAUUGGGCGUAAAGGGUGCGCAGGCGGCAAGAAAAGCUUAAGGUGAAAGCGUGGGGCUCAACUCCAUAAAGCCUUAGGAACUAGCUUGCUAGAGUGCAGGAGAGGGCGAUGGAAUUCCAUGUGUAGCGGUAAAAUGCGUAGAUAUAUGGAGGAACACCAGUGGCGAAGGCGGUCGCCUGGCCUGUAACUGACGCUGAGGCACGAAAGCGUGGGGAGCAAAUAGGAUUAGAUACCCUAGUAGUCCACGCUGUAAACGAUGGAUACUAAGUGUUGGGG
This 635-nucleotide ribosomal RNA is filed under the name uncultured bacterium. RNAcentral describes it as "bacterial SSU rRNA". It matches the Rfam family "Bacterial small subunit ribosomal RNA", at positions 202 to 828 of the family's 1533-position model. The record is from RNAcentral.